GAUGAACGCUGGCGGCGUGCCUAAUACAUGCAAGUCGAGCGAACGGACGAGAAGCUUGCUUCUCUGAUGUUAGCGGCGGACGGGUGAGUAACACGUGGAUAACCUACCUAUAAGACUGGGAUAACUUCGGGAAACCGGAGCUAAUACCGGAUAAUAUUUUGAACCGCAUGGUUCAAAAGUGAAAGACGGUCUUGCUGUCACUUAUAGAUGGAUCCGCGCUGCAUUAGCUAGUUGGUAAGGUAACGGCUUACCAAGGCAACGAUGCAGAGCCGACCUGAGAGGGUGAUCGGCCACACUGGAACUGAGACACGGUCCAGACUCCUACGGGAGGCAGCAGUAGGGAAUCUUCCGCAAUGGGCGAAAGCCUGACGGAGCAACGCCGCGUGAGUGAUGAAGGUCUUCGGAUCGUAAAACUCUGUUAUUAGGGAAGAACAUAUGUGUAAGUAACUGUGCACAUCUUGAGGGUACCUAAUCAGAAAGCCACGGCUAACUACGUG
Molecule: ribosomal RNA, 497 nt
Filed under: uncultured bacterium
Lineage: Bacteria
Description: partial 16S ribosomal RNA
Rfam family: Bacterial small subunit ribosomal RNA
Source: RNAcentral